AGAGUUUGAUCCUGGCUCAGGACGAACGCUGGCGGCGUGCCUAACACAUGCUUGUCGAGCGAGGACGGGUCUUCGGACUCGAGCCGAGCGGCGGACGGGUGAGUAACACGUGAGCAACCUGCCCCUGUGCGGGGGAUAACCCGGGGAAACUCGGGCUAAUACCGCAUGGUCGGCCCUGCCGCAUGGUGGGGCUGGCGAAAGGCGGCCUCUCAUGGAAGCUGCCGUGCAGGGAGGGGCUCGCGGCCUAUCAGCUGGUUGGUGGGGUAACGGCCUACCCAGGCGACGACGGGUAGCGGGUUUGAGAGGACGACCCGCCACAUUGGGACUGAGACACGGCCCAGACUCCCUACGGGAGGCAGCAGUGGGGAAUCUAUGCG
This 377-nucleotide ribosomal RNA is filed under the name uncultured bacterium. RNAcentral's name for it is "bacterial SSU rRNA". It matches the Rfam family "Bacterial small subunit ribosomal RNA", at positions 8 to 369 of the family's 1533-position model. The record is from RNAcentral.